UACAGAGGCUUCGAGCGUUGUUCGGAAUUACUGGGCGUAAAGGGAGUGUAGGUGGUGACGUAAGUCAGAUGUGAAAGCCCUGGGCUUAACCCGGGAAGUGCAUUUGAUACUGCGUCGCUGGAGUACGAGAGAGGAAAGUGGAAUUUUCAGUGUAGGGGUGAAAUGCGUAGAUAUCGGGAGGAACACCAGUGGCGAAGGCGACUACCUGGCCUGUUCUUGACGCUGAGGCGCGAAAGCUAGGGGAGCAAACGGG
Molecule: ribosomal RNA, 253 nt
Filed under: uncultured bacterium
Lineage: Bacteria
Description: partial 16S ribosomal RNA
Rfam family: Bacterial small subunit ribosomal RNA
Source: RNAcentral